Molecule: ribosomal RNA, 96 nt
Filed under: Paenibacillus polymyxa
Lineage: Bacteria; Bacillati; Bacillota; Bacilli; Caryophanales; Paenibacillaceae
Also listed under: 2 other names
Source: RNAcentral
GUUCCACACGUACCCAUCCCGAACACGACCGUUAAGCCCUCCAGCGCCGAUGGUACUUGGACCGCAGGGUCCUGGGAGAGUAGGACGUUGCCAAGC